This 492-nucleotide ribosomal RNA is filed under the name uncultured bacterium. RNAcentral's name for it is "partial 16S ribosomal RNA". It matches the Rfam family "Bacterial small subunit ribosomal RNA", at positions 29 to 507 of the family's 1533-position model. The record is from RNAcentral.
AGUGAACGCUGGCGGUAGGCCUAACACAUGCAAGUCGAACGGCAGCACAGUAAGAGCUUGCUCUUACGGGUGGCGAGUGGCGGACGAGUGAGGAAUACAUCGGAAUCUACUUUUUCGUGGGGGAUAACGUAGGGAAACUUACGCUAAUACCGCAUACGACCUACGGGUGAAAGCAGGGGAUCUUCGGACCUUGCGCGGUUGAAUGAGCCGAUGUCGGAUUAGCUAGUUGGCGGGGUAAAGGCCCACCAAGGCGACGAUCCGUAGCUGGUCUGAGAGGAUGAUCAGCCACACUGGAACUGAGACACGGUCCAGACUCCUACGGGAGGCAGCAGUGGGGAAUAUUGGACAAUGGGCGCAAGCCUGAUCCAGCCAUACCGCGUGGGUGAAGAAGGCCUUCGGGUUGUAAAGCCCUUUUGUUGGGAAAGAAAAGCAGCAGGUUAAUACCCCGCUGUUCUGACGGUACCCAAAGAAUAAGCACCGGCUAACUUCGUG